This 399-nucleotide ribosomal RNA is filed under the name uncultured bacterium. RNAcentral's name for it is "bacterial SSU rRNA". It matches the Rfam family "Bacterial small subunit ribosomal RNA", at positions 975 to 1374 of the family's 1533-position model. The record is from RNAcentral.
CCACCUUUGACAUGUACGGAAGAUCGCAGAGACGCAAUUGUGCUCGAAAGAGAGCCGUAACACAGGUGCUGCAUGGCUGUCGUCAGCUCGUGUCGUGAGAUGUUGGGUUAAGUCCCGCAACGAGCGCAACCCUUGCCAUUAGUUGCUACAUUUAGUUGGGCACUCUAAUGGGACUGCCGGUGACAAACCGGAGGAAGGUGGGGAUGACGUCAAGUCCUCAUGGCCCUUAUAGGUGGGGCUACACACGUCAUACAAUGGCUGGUACAAAGGGUUGCCAACCCGCGAGGGGGAGCUAAUCCCAUAAAGCCAGUCGUAGUCCGGAUCGUAGUCUGCAACUCGACUACGUGAAGUCGGAAUCGCUAGUAAUCGUGGAUCAGAAUGUCACGGUGAAUACGUUCC